RNAcentral lists this ribosomal RNA (253 nucleotides) under uncultured bacterium. Its description in RNAcentral is "partial 16S ribosomal RNA". It matches the Rfam family "Bacterial small subunit ribosomal RNA", at positions 524 to 776 of the family's 1533-position model. The record is from RNAcentral.
UACAGAGGUCCCAAGCGUUGUUCGGAUUCAUUGGGCGUAAAGGGUGCGUAGGCGGCGCGGUAAGUCGGGUGUGAAAUCUCGGAGCUUAACUCCGAAACUGCAUUCGAUACUGCCGUGCUUGAGGACUGGAGAGGAGACUGGAAUUUACGGUGUAGCGGUGAAAUGCGUAGAUAUAGUAAGGAAGACCAGUGGCGAAGGCGGGUCUCUGGACAGUUCCUGACGCUGAGGCACGAAGGCCAGGGGAGCAAACGGG